RNAcentral lists this ribosomal RNA (458 nucleotides) under uncultured bacterium. RNAcentral's name for it is "bacterial SSU rRNA". It matches the Rfam family "Bacterial small subunit ribosomal RNA", at positions 28 to 514 of the family's 1533-position model. The record is from RNAcentral.
GACGAACGCUGGCGGCGUGCUUUAGACAUGCAAGUCGAACGAGAUCUUCGGAUCUAGUGGCGAACGGCGGAGUAAUACAUAAACAACGUGCCCUGAAGACUGGGAUAUACGGUCGAAAGGCCGAGCAAUACCGGAUGUGGCCGAGACUAGGCAUCUAGACUCGAUUAAAUGGUUUUCGCUUCAGGAGCGGUUUAUGACUCAUCAGCUAGUUGGUAGGGUAAUGGCCUACCAAGGCUACGACGGGUAGGGGGUCUGAGAGGAUGAUCCCCCCGAGUGGGACUGAGACACGGCCCACACACCUACGGGUGGCAGCAGUUUGGAAUCUUGCCCAAUGGGGGAAACCCUGAGGCAGCGACGCCGCGUGGAGGAUGAAGGAUUUAGGUCUGUAAACUCCUUUUGCCAGGAAAGACUUAGGACGGUACCUGGCGAAUAAGCUCCGGCUAACUACGUGCCAGCAG